AUUGAACGCUGGCGGCAGGCCUAACACAUGCAAGUCGAACGGUAACAGGAAGACGCUUGCUUCUUUGCUGACGAGUGGCGGACGGGUGAGGAAUGUCUGGGAAACUGCCUGAUGGAGGGGGAUGACUACUGGAAACGGUAGCUAAUACCGCAUAACGUCUCAAGACCAAAGUGGGGGGCCUUCUGGCCUCUUGCCAUCGGAUGUGCCCAGUUGGGCUUACCUUGUUGGUGGGAUAACGGCUCACCAAGCCGACGACCCCUAGCUGGUCUGAGAGGAGGACCAGCCACACGGGAACUGAGACACGGUCCAGACUCCUACGGGAGGCAGCAGUGGGGAUUAUUGCACAUUGGGCGCAAGCCUGAUGCAGCCAUGCCGCGUGUAUGAAGAAGUCCUUCGGGUUGUAAAGUACUUUCAGCGGGGAGGAAGGGAGUAAAGUUAAUACCUUCGCUCAUUGACGUUACCCGCAGAAGAAGCACCGGCUAACUCCGUG
RNAcentral lists this ribosomal RNA (490 nucleotides) under uncultured bacterium. Its description in RNAcentral is "partial 16S ribosomal RNA". It matches the Rfam family "Bacterial small subunit ribosomal RNA", at positions 30 to 507 of the family's 1533-position model. The record is from RNAcentral.